GGAGGAAGGAAGCAGGCUGCCUGGAAUGCAGAGGGGUGCCUGACUUGACACCAUAGGGUUUGAGUUGCAGCAGGGAGUGCUCACUACUUCUGCAAGUGAAGGCAAUGAGAGCUGUGCUUUGACCACAGAGUGCUAUAAAAUGUCAUACCCCUCUGCCUGGGCUACUCAUUGAAGGCAAU
Long non-coding RNA from Chelonia mydas (Green sea turtle), 179 nucleotides. RefSeq lists it as uncharacterized. The transcript has 3 exons. NCBI's taxonomy places the organism in Eukaryota, Metazoa, Chordata, Testudines, Cheloniidae. The record is from RefSeq and is a predicted model, not a curated record.